Long non-coding RNA from Hippocampus comes (tiger tail seahorse), 182 nucleotides. RefSeq lists it as uncharacterized. The transcript is spliced from 2 exons. The record is from RefSeq and is a predicted model, not a curated record. Lineage: Eukaryota; Metazoa; Chordata; Actinopteri; Syngnathiformes; Syngnathidae.
GGACCAAGCCAGAAGGGGAAGUCUGGUGCCUAGAUAAGGAUGAGACAAGAGGAUGGGCUGGGGAGGCUGGAGGAGGAGGAUACACUCGGGAACUCCAAUAGAGACGAGACAGAUCUAAUGGCAAGGGAAGGUUGAUUCCAGAUGGCCCUCGCGGCUCGACAAUAGCGCAUCCGUCUUCAAAA